GUAGUUUUGGAUAACUGAGAUUUGGAUAACAGGAGCUGUUCGGUUUAUGAUUCUGGUGCUCUUCUGCUGUCAAUACUCUGCUGUGGCUUGCUCAAGUAUUUUGCUCUGCUUCACUUUCUGUAUGGAGUCCACAAAAUGCUAAUUAAUGCUCAUUAAUAAGCAUCUUCAAAAGAACAAAAGCCUGGGAGAGGGAAGAAGAAUGAGAAAGUGGGACAGGAGCACUGAAUAUUGACAAGGAGAUAAGUGUAGUGGAAGAGUUGAGAAGGGAAGGAAAGCACAAUUUCUUUUUUAACCCUUCUUCAGUCCCUUGGACAAACUCACAUCAGAUAAAAAUCUUUCUUUCUUUUUUUCAGUUCUGUGGCCUGUGUGAAUGACUGGGGGGUGUCAGAGCUGGUUGGUUUCUUCUUAACUUUUCACAGAACUCGUUACAGCAAUAAAGUAAAACUUUUAAACAGA
Mauremys reevesii (Reeves's turtle) is the source of this 456-nucleotide long non-coding RNA. RefSeq lists it as uncharacterized. The record is from RefSeq and is a predicted model, not a curated record. NCBI's taxonomy places the organism in Eukaryota, Metazoa, Chordata, Testudines, Geoemydidae. The transcript is spliced from 2 exons.